AUGGCGAUGCCCUUUGCCUCCCUGUCGCCGGCAGCCGACCACCACCGCUCCUCCCCCAUCUUCCCCUUCUGCCGCUCCUCCCCUCUCUACUCGGCAGGGGAGGAGGCGGCGCAGCAGCAGCAGCAGCACGCGAUGAGCGGCGCGAGGUGGGCGGCGAUGAGGCCGGCGACCUUCACGGCGGCGCAGUACCAGGAGCUGGAGCAGCAGGCGCUCAUCUACAAGUACCUCGUCGCCGGCGUGCCCGUCCCGCCGGAUCUCCUCCUCCCCAUCCGCCGCGACUUCGACUCCCUCGCCUCGCGCUUCUACCACCACCACGCCCUUGGGUACGGGUCCUACUUCGGGAAGAAGCUGGAUCCGGAGCCGGGGCGGUGCCGGCGGACGGACGGCAAGAAGUGGCGGUGCUCCAAGGAGGCCGCCCAGGACUCCAAGUACUGCGAGCGCCACAUGCACCGCGGCCGCAACCGUUCAAGAAAGCCUGUGGAAACGCAGCUCGUCGCCACGCCCCACUCCCACUCCCACUCCCAGCAGCUGCAGCAGCACGCCCCCGCCGCCACCGCCGCCGCGUUCCACAGCCACUCGCCGUACCCGGCGAUCGCCACUGGCGGCGGCGGCGGCGCGGCCGGCUCCUUCGGCCUGGGGUCUGCUCAGCUGCACAUGGACAAUGCUGCUGCGCCUUACGCGACCGCUGGUGCGGCCGGAAACAAGGAUUUCAGGUAUUCUGCCUAUGGGUUUAGGACUUCGGCGCUGGAGGAGCACAACCAGUUCAUCAGCGCGGCCAUGGACACCGCCAUGGACAACUACUCAUGGCGCCUGAUGCCGGCCCAGAACUCGGCGUUCUCACUCUCGAGCUACCCCAUGCUGGGCACCCUGGGCGACCUGGACCAGAGCGCGAUCUGCUCGCUGGCCAAGACGGAGAGGGAGCCGCUGUCCUUCGGCGGCGGCGGCGGCUUCGAGGACGACGAGUCGGCGGUGAAGCAGGAGAACCAGACGCUGCGGCCCUUCUUCGACGAGUGGCCCAAGGACAGGGACUCGUGGCCGGAGCUGCAGGACCAUGACUCCAACCACAACAGCAACGCCUUCUCGGCCACCAAGCUGUCCAUCUCCAUCCCGGUGACCAGCUCCGACUUCUCCACCACCGCCGGCUCCCGCUCGCCCCACGGUAUAUACUCCCGGUGA
RNAcentral lists this ribosomal RNA (1176 nucleotides) under Triticum aestivum (bread wheat). RNAcentral's name for it is "partial small subunit ribosomal RNA". Lineage: Eukaryota; Viridiplantae; Streptophyta; Magnoliopsida; Poales; Poaceae. The record is from RNAcentral.